This 494-nucleotide ribosomal RNA is filed under the name uncultured bacterium. RNAcentral describes it as "partial 16S ribosomal RNA". It matches the Rfam family "Bacterial small subunit ribosomal RNA", at positions 28 to 507 of the family's 1533-position model. The record is from RNAcentral.
GACGAACGCUGGCGGCGUGCUUAACACAUGCAAGUCGAACGGAAAGGCCUGCUUUCCCUUGUGGAUUGCGGGUACUCGAGUGGCGAACGGGUGAGUAACACGUGAGUGAUCUGCCCCCAACUUGGGUAUAAGCCUGGGAAACUGGGUCUAAUUCCCGAUAGGACUGCAGGGUGGUGCCUGUGGUGGAAAACGAUUUUCUAGUGGUUGGGGAUGAGCUCGCGGCCUAUCAGCUUGUUGGUGGGGUAAUGGCCUACCAAGGCGGCGACGGGUAGCCGGCCUGAGAGGGUGGACGGCCACAUUGGGACUGAGAUACGGCCCAGACUCCUACGGGAGGCAGCAGUGGGGAAUAUUGCACAAUGGGCGGAAGCCUGAUGCAGCGACGCCGCGUGGGGGAUGACGGCCUUCGGGUUGUAAACUCCUUUCGACCGCGAGGAAGCCACCUGGCUGGAAGGGUGGUGACGGUAGUGGUAGAAGAAGCACCGGCUAACUACGUG